CAUCUACUCCUUCCAUCCAGAAAUACUUAUCAUCAAAAUGAAUAAAAGGGGAUGUAUCUAGAUGUAUUUUAGUUCUAGAUACAUCCCUUUUUGUCCAUUUUGAUGGCAAAUAUUUUCGGACGAAGGGAGUAUAUA
Molecule: non-coding RNA, 135 nt
Organism: Triticum aestivum (bread wheat)
Lineage: Eukaryota; Viridiplantae; Streptophyta; Magnoliopsida; Poales; Poaceae
Source: Rfam